GGGAUCUUAGCUCAGCUGGGAGAGCAUCUGCCUUACAAGCAGAGGGUCAUAGGUUCGAGCCCUAUAGGUCCCACGA
RNAcentral lists this transfer RNA (76 nucleotides) under Lachnospiraceae bacterium 10-1. Its description in RNAcentral is "tRNA-Val". It matches the Rfam family "tRNA". From Rfam's summary of the family: Transfer RNA (tRNA) molecules are approximately 80 nucleotides in length. Their secondary structure includes four short double-helical elements and three loops (D, anti-codon, and T loops). RNAcentral also lists the same sequence under 4 other names. Lineage: Bacteria; Bacillati; Bacillota; Clostridia; Lachnospirales; Lachnospiraceae. The record is from RNAcentral.